AGCACUUGUAUGUAUUUUUGUUUAGCUUGUAAGCAAAGACUUAUAGACAGGUGUAAAAAAUAAAUCCUCUUUUGCAACCCAGAAUACAUUAUACUGUAUGAGUUUUGAUAUAUAUAGGGAAUAUG
This 125-nucleotide small nucleolar RNA is filed under the name Castor canadensis (American beaver). RNAcentral describes it as "Small nucleolar RNA SNORA40 (ENSCCNG00000023944.1)". It matches the Rfam family "Small nucleolar RNA SNORA40". Rfam says of the family: The snoRNA ACA 40 belongs to the H/ACA family of snoRNAs and guides the pseudouridylation of 28S rRNA subunit at position U4565. NB This family has a high threshold value to exclude a large number of closely related sequences that do not appear to have conserved H and ACA boxes, and may be pseudogenes. The record is from Rfam by way of RNAcentral. Lineage: Eukaryota; Metazoa; Chordata; Mammalia; Rodentia; Castoridae.